This 499-nucleotide ribosomal RNA is filed under the name uncultured bacterium. Its description in RNAcentral is "partial 16S ribosomal RNA". It matches the Rfam family "Bacterial small subunit ribosomal RNA", at positions 28 to 507 of the family's 1533-position model. The record is from RNAcentral.
GAUGAACGCUGGCGGCGUGCCUAAUACAUGCAAGUCGAGCGAACAGACGAGAGUGCUUGCACUCUCUGACGUUAGCGGUGGACGGGUGAGUAACACGUGGGUAACCUACCUAUAAGACUGGGAUAACUUCGGGAAACCGGAGCUAAUACCGGAUAAUAUUUAGCUUCGCAUGAAGCAAUAGUGAAAGACGGUUCUGCUGUCACUUAUAGAUGGACCCGCGGUGUAUUAGCUAGUUGGUGAGGUAACGGCUCACCAAGGCAACGAUACAUAGCCGACCUGAGAGGGUGAUCGGCCACACUGGGACUGAGACACGGCCCAGACUCCUACGGGAGGCAGCAGUAGGGAAUCUUCCGCAAUGGACGAAAGUCUGACGGAGCAAUGCCGCGUGAGUGAAGAAGGUUUUCGGAUCGUAAAACUCUGUUGUAAGGGAAGAACAAGUACGUUAGUAACUGAACGUACCUUGACGGUACCUUACCAGAAAGCCACGGCUAACUACGUG